RNAcentral lists this ribosomal RNA (654 nucleotides) under uncultured archaeon. RNAcentral describes it as "bacterial SSU rRNA". It matches the Rfam family "Archaeal small subunit ribosomal RNA", at positions 141 to 793 of the family's 1478-position model. The record is from RNAcentral.
UGGGGCUAAUCCCCCAUAGGCCUGAGGUACUGGAAGGUCCUCAGGCCGAAAGGGGCUCUGCCCGCCCGAGGAUGGGCCGGCGGCCGAUUAGGUAGUUGGUGGGGUAACGGCCCACCAAGCCGAAGAUCGGUACGGGCCAUGAGAGUGGGAGCCCGGAGAUGGACACUGAGACACGGGUCCAGGCCCUACGGGGCGCAGCAGGCGCGAAACCUCCGCAAUGCGGGCAACCGCGACGGGGGGACCCCCAGUGCCGUGGCAACGCCACGGCUUUUCCGGAGUGUAAAAAGCUCCGGGAAUAAGGGCUGGGCAAGGCCGGUGGCAGCCGCCGCGGUAAUACCGGCGGCCCGAGUGGUGGCCGCUAUUAUUGGGCCUAAAGCGUCCGUAGCCGGGCCCGUAAGUCCCUGGCGAAAUCCCACGGCUCAACCGUGGGGCUUGCUGGGGAUACUGCGGGCCUUGGGACCGGGAGAGGCCGGGGGUACCCCUGGGGUAGGGGUGAAAUCCUAUAAUCCCAGGGGGACCGCCAGUGGCGAAGGCGCCCGGCUGGAACGGGUCCGACGGUGAGGGACGAAGGCCAGGGGAGCGAACCGGAUUAGAUACCCGGGUAGUCCUGGCUGUAAAGGAUGCGGGCUAGGUGUCGGGCGAGCUUCGAGCUCG